RNAcentral lists this ribosomal RNA (253 nucleotides) under uncultured bacterium. Its description in RNAcentral is "partial 16S ribosomal RNA". It matches the Rfam family "Bacterial small subunit ribosomal RNA", at positions 524 to 776 of the family's 1533-position model. The record is from RNAcentral.
UACGUAGGGUGCAAGCGUUGUCCGGAAUUAUUGGGCGUAAAGAGCUCGUAGGCGGUUUGUCGCGUCGGCUGUGAAAACUCGGGGCUCAACCCCGAGCCUGCAGUCGAUACGGGCAGACUAGAGUGCUGUAGGGGAGACUGGAAUUCCUGGUGUAGCGGUGAAAUGCGCAGAUAUCAGGAGGAACACCGGUGGCGAAGGCGGGUCUCUGGGCAGUAACUGACGCUGAGGUGCGAAAGCGUGGGGAGCAAACAGG